This 253-nucleotide ribosomal RNA is filed under the name uncultured bacterium. RNAcentral's name for it is "partial 16S ribosomal RNA". It matches the Rfam family "Bacterial small subunit ribosomal RNA", at positions 524 to 776 of the family's 1533-position model. The record is from RNAcentral.
UACAGAGGUCUCGAGCGUUAGGCGGAAUCACUGGGCUUAAAGCGUGUGUAGGUGGAUCGGUAAGUACCUUGUGAAAUCCCACGGCUUAACCGUGGAACUGCUCGGUAUACUGCCGGUCUUGAGCCACCUAGGGGCGAGCGGAACAAAUGGUGGAGCGGUGAAAUGCGUAGAUAUCAUUUGGAACGCCAAUGGUGAAAACAGCUCGCUGGGGGUGUGCUGACGCUGAGACACGAAAGCCAGGGGAGCAAACGGG